Molecule: ribosomal RNA, 217 nt
Filed under: uncultured fungus
Lineage: Eukaryota; Fungi
Description: partial 28S ribosomal RNA
Source: RNAcentral
GUAUGUUACUUCUUCGGGGGUGGCCUCUACAGUUUAUCGGGCCAGCAUCAGUUUGGGCGGUAGGAGAAUUGCGUUGGAAUGUGGCACGGCUUCGGUUGUGUGUUAUAGCCUUCGUCGAUACUGCCAGCCUAGACUGAGGACUGCGGUUUAUACCUAGGAUGUUGGCAUAAUGAUCUUAAGUCGCCCCCCUUGAAACACGGACCAAAGAGUCAAAAUC